AAAACCAUAAACCUCAAUACCCCGUCCGGUAUGAGGGUGAAACGGGCCGUCCCCAUACCCCGUCCGGUAUGGGCACCAAAACCAUAAACCUCAAUACCCCGUCCGGUAUGAGGGUGAAACGGGCCGUCCCCAUACCCCGUCCGGUAUGGGCGCCAAAACCAUAAGAUCUCCAUACCCCGUCCGGCAUGUGAGACCACAAUCCCGGUAGGGUUCCCUACGGACCCGGUCCGUCCACCAUCUCCC
This 243-nucleotide long non-coding RNA is filed under the name Carica papaya (papaya). RNAcentral describes it as "long non-coding RNA (CPAP_LNC009123)". The record is from RNAcentral. Lineage: Eukaryota; Viridiplantae; Streptophyta; Magnoliopsida; Brassicales; Caricaceae.